CUCCUUCUCCUGCCGCUGAUGCUGUCUUUCACGGCGUCGGCACGGCACUUGACUCCCACCGCGGAUUACUCGGUGCUGAGGAAGGUGCCUCGUGGACCAGACCCCAUAAUGUCCGACCCACCGCCUCGGCCGCCAGCCAAGAGCACACAUUUUCCGGUGCUGAGGAAGGUGCCUCGUGGGCCAGACCCCAUAACAUCUGACACGCCCCCACCGCCGGCCACGAGCGUGCACUUCUCCGUGCUGAGGAAGGUGCCUCGUGGGCCGGACCCUAUAACAUCGGACCCACCGCCGCCGCCAGCCACCAGCCCACACUUCUCGGUGCUUCGGAAGGUGCCUUUCAGACCAGAUCCCAUAGUAUCUUAUGCUCCACCGCCACCGGCGACAAGCGCUCACUUCUCGGUUCUCCGGAAGGUCCCCCGUGGGCCGGACCCCAUCACGUCCGACUCACCGCCGCCACCUCCGAGGGACCUCUCGGUGCUCAGGAAGGUUCCUACCGGACCAAACCCAGAGACGUCCGACUCACCGCCACCACCUCCGAGGGACUUCUCGGUGCUCGGGAAGGUUCCUACCGGACCAAACCCAGAGACGUCCGACUCACCGCCACCACCUCCGAGGGAUUUCUCGGUGCUCAGGAAGGUUCCUACCGGACCAAACCCGGCGACGUCCGACUCACCGCCACCACCUCCGAGGGACUUCUCGGUGCUCAGGAAGGUUCCUACCGGACCAAACCCGGUGACGUCCGACUUACCGUCGCCACCACGGCUGCCAGCUGCAGCUUCUCCGGCGUGAUGCAAUUACCGGCGCCAUGCAUGUUACAUGUGAUGUAGCUACCUUGUAGUGUUA
RNAcentral lists this long non-coding RNA (843 nucleotides) under Triticum aestivum (bread wheat). Its description in RNAcentral is "long non-coding RNA (TAES_LNC000463)". The record is from RNAcentral. Lineage: Eukaryota; Viridiplantae; Streptophyta; Magnoliopsida; Poales; Poaceae.